CGCUGCUACCGAUGUUACGUUCAUCAUCCGGGCACAUGGGUACAAGUUAACACAUUUUCCCCGAGUACAAAUCAAUGAAGCGGUAGAAGAUUGAAAGUCGAAUAUGAAUAGUUCAUCGCUGGUAUCGGAAAAACCUCCUCCAUCGCUAAGUAGUUCAGCAAGGCGAGAAUGGUAUCGCGAAAAGAAAAGGGCUAUUAAUAGGUCAAGAGUUCAGAAACAUAGAAACAAAUUAAAUGAAAGAAAACGUGAACGCGAUAGGUUUCUCGCAAAGGAACGUAUGAAACGCUACAGACAGAGAAAGAGAGAAAUAAAUGCAGACACAAACAUUUCUAGCGAAUCUCUAACAAAUCAAAUUCCAUUU
Long non-coding RNA from Dreissena polymorpha, 361 nucleotides. RefSeq lists it as uncharacterized. The transcript is spliced from 3 exons. NCBI's taxonomy places the organism in Eukaryota, Metazoa, Mollusca, Bivalvia, Myida, Dreissenidae. The record is from RefSeq and is a predicted model, not a curated record.